GAUGUGUUUUCAUAACAUAUGUAGACAUACAUGGCCGUUCUUAGUUUUGAGGUGAUUUGUCUGGUUAAUUCUGAUAACGAACGAGACGUUGAUCUGCUAAAUAGUAGGCUGGUCCACUGUGCUCGUUUGAGGCUAUUGCUUUUGUAUGGAGUAGUGUGGUCAUGAUCCAACAGAUGCGGUGCCGGCUUUCACUACUCAGAGGGACAAGUGGCACACGAAAUUGAACAACAACAGAUUCCUGAUACCCUCAGAUAUCCUGGGCUACACGUGCGCUACAAUGACGGUGCCGAGAAGUCGUGAAUCCCGGUACAAAAGGGUGGGAAAACUGUUUCCUCACUAUCAUGACCGUGAUCAAGGAUCGCAAUUAUUCCCCGUGAACGAGGAGUUCCUGGUAAGUGAAAGUCAUGAGCUUGAACUAACUGCGUCUCUGCCCUUUGCACACACCUCACCUCGCUACUAACGAUUGAAUGGAUUAGUGAGGUCUUUGGAUUGGUGUCGUUGUAGUGGCUUUACCGCCCAACUGAGAAGAUGACCUAAUUUGACUAUUUAGAGGACGUCCAAGUUGUGAAAAAGAUUCCGAAGGUGAAGCUGCCUAGGGAUCAAUA
This 605-nucleotide non-coding RNA is filed under the name Schistosoma mattheei. Its description in RNAcentral is "Eukaryotic small subunit ribosomal RNA". It matches the Rfam family "Eukaryotic small subunit ribosomal RNA", at positions 1254 to 1831 of the family's 1831-position model. Lineage: Eukaryota; Metazoa; Platyhelminthes; Trematoda; Strigeidida; Schistosomatidae. The record is from Rfam by way of RNAcentral.